GACGAACGCUGGCGGCGUGCUUAACACAUGCAAGUCGAACGAUGAAGUUCCUUCGGGAAUGGAUUAGUGGCGAACGGGUGAGGAACACGUGAGAAACCUGCCUUUCAUUUUGGGAUAACUCCGGGAAACCGGGGCUAAAACCGAAUACUCCGUCUCGGCGGCAUCGCUGAGCCGGGAAAAAAUUUUGAUGAAAGAUGGUCUCGCGGCCUAUCAGCUAGUUGGUGAGGUAAUGGCUCGCCAAGGCAACGACGGGUAGCCGGCCUGAGAGGGCGACCGGCCACACUGGGACUGAGACACGGCCCAGACUCCUACGGGAGGCAGCAGUGGGGAAUAUUGGGCAAUGGGCGCAAGCCUGACCCAGCGACGCCGCGUGAGGGAUGAAGGCCUUCGGGUUGUAAACCUCUUUCAGUAGGGAAGAAGCGUAAGUGACGGUACCUAAAGAAGAAGCACCGGCUAACUAUGUGCCAGCAGCCGCCGCCG
RNAcentral lists this ribosomal RNA (480 nucleotides) under uncultured bacterium. RNAcentral describes it as "partial 16S ribosomal RNA". It matches the Rfam family "Bacterial small subunit ribosomal RNA", at positions 28 to 523 of the family's 1533-position model. The record is from RNAcentral.